RNAcentral lists this unclassified non-coding RNA (219 nucleotides) under root metagenome. RNAcentral describes it as "partial contains small subunit ribosomal RNA, internal transcribed spacer 1, and 5.8S ribosomal RNA". The record is from RNAcentral.
UUUCCGUAGGUGAACCUGCGGAAGGAUCAUUAUCAAAAGUCAAGUCGGGGGCUGUAAAGCUCUCGUCUACACCCAUGUCUUUUGCGUACUCUUGUUUCCUCGGUGGCGCAAGCUGCCGAUUGGACAAACCAAAACCUUUAUUUUUUAACUCUUUGUCUGAAAAAUAUUAUGAAUAAACAAUUCAAAAUACAACUUUCAACAACGGAUCUCUUGGCUCUC